ACUCACUCGCUCCUACUAGCUCUCUCGCUCGCCGCUCUCCGUCUCCUCCCCGUCGCCGCUCUCUCUCUCUCUCUCCCCUCCGGCAACGCCCUCUCCCUCUCCUCGUCGCCGCUCUCUCACUCUCCUCGUCGCCGCCCUCUCCUCUCCCCGUCGCCGUCCUCUCCCUCUCCCCGUCGCUGGCCUCUUCCACCGCCCUUUUUCCUCACCACCCCGCCUCCACUCAUACCCCGUAAGUCAACAAAAUAUCGAUUCUUUUUGCGCCGGCGACGAGCUUCUAGGCGAAGGACGUGUGGAUGUGUAGCGGCGCCAGAGCUCGAUAUAGGCAACGAAGGCGUGGACGUGGAUCGGUGCCCGAGCGGCGGAUCUGGAGCGGCGGAUCUGGAGCGGCGCCCGAGCAACGGAGGGAGAUGGAGUUCCCUCCUGGCGUGGCGGCUCGAUCUGCAACGCCCGCAGCUGCGGUACGCCACCCUCGCUGCUGUCGCAGGGAGAUGCCGCUCUUCCCCUUCCCGGUCCGCCCUGAUGUGGUUUCCUCUCCGUGACCCGUCAUCGGAGGCACGGCCAGAGGCAUCCCCGCCGCGUGCAGCUGCUACUCCCGGAUGCCGCCGCCGCCCUCCGCAAGGAGCGACGAUAACCUGAAGCUCUGCGGCCCGGUGUGCGCCGAGCGGCGCGCCGCGGGGGCACCGUCGCCGGCCGGCCACACGACAUCGCUCUCGUCCAGCUAGAAGCAUGCGCUGUCGUGGCCUGCCUCCGGCUGCUUCAGCAGGCCAAGAAACUGGAACGCACCCAUGCCCGGCGACCUCAGCAUCUCCAUCGAUGAUGAUAAUUUGAUCGAAAAGGGACGGCAUGCUGAGGUGUACAAAGGACAGCUUGCUGAUUGAUAGUUUGUGGCAGUGAAGAGGUUAACAAAAAUACUUAACCAAGCAUGCUGAGGUGAGCAGAGUAGAGACUGCCUACGAUCAUGAUCUAGAGUAGCAUGGAGUAAAAUGUUUGCAAGAGUACAUUUACAGGCAUGAGUACAAUGAAUUAACCAAUUGUUGUCAGUUGAAACUUAAAGUUCAGACAUGAAGUAGUCUUAGAGACCCAUGUACUCCUUGUAUUCAUGUUGUCAGUUGAAGUUGGUGUUUGCAAGAGUACAUUUACAGGCAUGAGUACAAUGAAUUAACCAAUUGUUGUCAGUUGAAACUUAAAGUUCAGACAUGAAGUAGUCUUAGAGACCCAUGUACUCCUUGUAUUCAUGUUGUCAGUUGAAGUUGGUAUCUUGCUUGUUUCCAAGUCUUGCGGUUGUACAUGAUGGUUUCAUCAAAUGGAUGUGAACUGAAUGUAUGUCCAGUUUACACCGAUGUAACCUGAUUCUGAAAGAAUGCCACAUACAGAUGGCGUCGACCUUGGCCUCCUCGUCGAUCUGACUCUGCAUUAAGAAAACUUGCUGGCAUCAAGUGUCCCCCUUCCUCCACCGGCAGCCUUCCAUCGAAUUCACAUCAGAAAACUUCAUUCAUUCACCCAGAAAAAAUAACUGACAUUGCCAACAUCUCACAAGAAAGAAGAGAGCAGAGUUGAAGUUGCGAGCCUGUUUACUUGCAGCUACACCUGUGUUCUUCUUCUUCUUCGCAGAAUCAAUCAGAUUCUCUUGAUUGGAGUGGAGAGGAGCAGAGACGAGAGGAGCAGCAGAAGUGGACAGCGCAACGGCUGACCUCGAGCUCUUGAUUGGAGUUGGGGCAGGCGGCCGGCGAAGGAUCUGUGGCCAACAGUGAAGGAUCCGAAGCUGUGGCGGAGCAGGCAGCCGGCGGGAAGGGCGGCCGGCGAGGGAGCUGCGGACCGCGGCGGGGAAGGGCGGCCGAUGAGGGAGCUGCGGACCGUGGCCGGGAAGGACGCCAGAGAUGCGGACGACGGAGGAGCCUGGCGAAAGGGAACAGCGACGGCGUAGAAGCCUGGCGGAGGGGAGGAGCGACGGAGGAAGACGCCUCCCGAUUGAUUUCAAAUCGGGGGUAGUAUUGUACUUUCACACUGUUUCACCUGGUCGGAACGACGCCCCCAGCGACAAUUAUUUCGGAACGGAGGGAGUAAAUAGUGGUAGACAUCGUGCAUGGAGAACACAUAUACUACGUCUGUUCCAUCCAAUAAAAAAGAAUCAAAUAUAUGCAUCUAAUUCUCCGUCA
This is a long non-coding RNA of Triticum aestivum (bread wheat), 2156 nucleotides long. RefSeq lists it as uncharacterized. Lineage: Eukaryota; Viridiplantae; Streptophyta; Magnoliopsida; Poales; Poaceae. The transcript is spliced from 3 exons. The record is from RefSeq and is a predicted model, not a curated record.